ACCGGGCGGAGUUAGGCCAGACUGGCAGCCUGGAGUACGGGAGAGGGGCGUGGAAUUCCGGGUGUAGUGGUGAAAUGCGUAGAGAUCCGGAGGAACCCCAGCGGCGAAGGCGGCGCCCUGGCCCGUAACUGACGCUCAGACACGACAGCAUGGGGAGCGAACGGGAUUAGAAACCCCGGUAGUCCAUGCCGUAAACGAUGCCAACUAGGCGUCGGCGGUCUCAACCCCGUCGGUGCCGGAGCUAACGCGGGAAGUUGGCCGCCUGGGGAGUACGACCGCAAGGUUAAAACUCAAAGGAAUUGACGGGGGCCCGCACAAGCAGCGGAGCGUGUGGUUUAAUUCGAGGCUACACGAAGAACCUUACCUGGCGUUGACAUGAGGCUAGUAGGGGAGCGAAAGCCGACCGACC
This 409-nucleotide ribosomal RNA is filed under the name uncultured bacterium. RNAcentral's name for it is "bacterial SSU rRNA". It matches the Rfam family "Bacterial small subunit ribosomal RNA", at positions 612 to 1017 of the family's 1533-position model. The record is from RNAcentral.